RNAcentral lists this ribosomal RNA (480 nucleotides) under uncultured bacterium. RNAcentral's name for it is "bacterial SSU rRNA". It matches the Rfam family "Bacterial small subunit ribosomal RNA", at positions 28 to 482 of the family's 1533-position model. The record is from RNAcentral.
GACGAACGCNGGCGGCGUGCUUAACACAUGCAAGUCGAACGGGCCUGUCCCUGGUCUUUUGGUUGGGGGUGGGUUAGUGGCGAACGGGUGAGUAACACGUGAGUAACCUGCCCCUCACUUCUGGAUAACCGCUUGAAAGGGUGGCUAAUACGGGGUGUUCUGGCUGUGCCGCAUGGUGUGGUUGGGAAAGAUUCACUAUUUGUUUGGUGUUUUGGUGGGGGAUGGGCUCGCGGCCUAUCAGCUUGUUGGUGGGGUGAUGGCCUGCCAAGGCUUUGACGGGUAGCCGGCCUGAGAGGGUGGGCGGUCACACUGGGACUGAGACACGGCCCAGACUCCUGCGGGAGGCAGCAGUGGGGGAUAUUGCACAAUGGGCGGAAGCCUGAUGCAGCGACGUCGCGUGAGGGAUGGAGGCCUUCGGGUUGUGAACCUCUUUCGCCGGUGAAGAAGGUCCUGCUUUUUGGGUGGGGUGACGGUAGCCGG